RNAcentral lists this ribosomal RNA (388 nucleotides) under uncultured eukaryote. RNAcentral describes it as "partial 18S ribosomal RNA". It matches the Rfam family "Eukaryotic small subunit ribosomal RNA", at positions 592 to 976 of the family's 1831-position model. The record is from RNAcentral.
CAAUAGCGUAUAUUAAAGUUGUUGCAGUUAAAAAGCUCGUAGUUGGAUUUCUGAUCGAGACAUCAGGUCGGGUCCGAGAGGAUCAUGUACUUUGAUUUUGUUUUGAUCAUCCUUGGGGAGAGCAUUUCUGGCAUUCAGUUGUCGGGAUUGGGAUCCUCAUCGUUUACUGUGAAAAAAUUAGAGUGUUCAAAGCAGGCCUCGGCCUCUGAAUACAUUAGCAUGGAAUAAUAAGAUAGGACUUUGGUGGUCUAUUUUGUUGGUUUGCACGCCAAAGUAAUGAUUAAUAGGGAUAGUUGGGGGUAUUCGUAUUCAAUUGUCAGAGGUGAGAUUCUUGGAUCUAUGGAAGACGAACUACUGCGAAAGCAUUUACCAAGGAUGUUUUCAUUAA